Molecule: ribosomal RNA, 231 nt
Filed under: Triticum aestivum (bread wheat)
Lineage: Eukaryota; Viridiplantae; Streptophyta; Magnoliopsida; Poales; Poaceae
Description: partial small subunit ribosomal RNA
Source: RNAcentral
AUGAAUAUUCUCGUGUGGAACUGCCGGGGGGGGGACUGUCGGACAGUUCGUGAGGUUUUGGCCCUCUCAAAAGCCAAUUCCUCGGGGCUUGUGUUUUUGUCUGAGACAAGGCAGGCCUCUACAAAGAUGGAGAGAUUAAAAUGGAGGUUACACUUGAAGGGUUUUGCGGGUGUUUCGAGUGAUGGUCUCAGUGGAGGAUUCGCGCUCUAUUGGGAUGAGAAGCUUAACGUG